CCCUGUUUGGAUGGAGGAGAUGAAGGGGGAUAUGAGAACCCCCCUGAUUUGUACUCCGGGUGUCGACCAAAUCCGGUGUUUGGUUCAGAUUUUUGGAAGGUGGAGAUAAAUACUGUAGCGGUUUCAUCUCCGGGUGAAGCUGGAUUUGUGAAGGAGAGCUCAGACCCCGUCGUUGGCAAAUCCGGGAGGUUUUAAGACGGUUUUACCCCUCCAAAUCCCCCUUUGCUUUAUCUGUUCUCAUCUCAUUUGUUUUCAUCGUUCUUUGAAACCCAGACCAACGAAGAGAGAGAAGAGAGAGAAGAGAGAGAGAGAGAAAAGAGGAGGUCGCCGAACAACUCUGGUGACUCCACCGCCUGACCGACGGUUACAACUCUCCCUCGUCUUCCUCCUUACACGGGCUGAGAUUGUACAAUGUCGACAGAAAAUAAACAAUACUAUUGGGUGGUUUUCGUUGGCCGUCGUCCGGGAAUUUAUACAAGUUGGGAGACCGCGGGACUGCAGGUUAAUGGAUAUCCGGGAAACUUGUUCAAAAGAUACACAACGUUCGACGAAGCCGAAGGAGCAUUGUUACAGUUCCAUGAGGAACGAUACCGGCUCCUUCAAAUGCAGUCGGUUCGAACUGAACAACAAUCAAGACACAAUGGUUCCACAUCCGAAAGUGCUUUGGAAGUUCAACAUCGAACUAGUGUAACCACAAAAUUCGUUGUCGUUUUUUUCUUAGGUUUCUUAUGUUGUAUAAUCUUCGCACAUCUAUUCGAUUCUGAUUGAACUUGUACGUUUUUUUCAAA
This is a long non-coding RNA of Rhododendron vialii, 788 nucleotides long. RefSeq lists it as uncharacterized. Lineage: Eukaryota; Viridiplantae; Streptophyta; Magnoliopsida; Ericales; Ericaceae. The record is from RefSeq and is a predicted model, not a curated record. The transcript has 2 exons.